GGGGCUGACCGAAAGGUCCGGGUCCUACCAAGGCGGGGAUGUUCCCC
The submitters of this non-coding RNA (47 nucleotides) gave its source as unclassified sequences. The record is from Rfam.